CCUACGGGAGGCAGCAGUGAGGAAUAUUGGUCAAUGGGCGCGAGCCUGAACCAGCCAAGUAGCGUGAAGGAUGACUGCCCUACGGGUUGUAAACUGCUUUUAUAAAGGAAUAAAGUGAGGCACGGGUGCCGUUUUGGAGGUACUGUAUGAAUAAGGAUCGGCGAACUCCGUGCCAGCAGCCGCGGUAAUACGGAGGAUCCGAGCGUUAUCCGGAUUUAUUGGGGUUACAGGGAGCGUAGAUGGGUUGUUUAGUCAGUUGUGAAAGUUUGCGGCUCAACCGUAAAAUUGCAAUUGAUACUGGCAGUCUUGAGUUCAGUUGCGGUAGGCGGAAUUCGUGGUGUAGCGG
Molecule: ribosomal RNA, 346 nt
Filed under: uncultured bacterium
Lineage: Bacteria
Description: partial 16S ribosomal RNA
Rfam family: Bacterial small subunit ribosomal RNA
Source: RNAcentral